This 253-nucleotide ribosomal RNA is filed under the name uncultured bacterium. RNAcentral's name for it is "partial 16S ribosomal RNA". It matches the Rfam family "Bacterial small subunit ribosomal RNA", at positions 524 to 776 of the family's 1533-position model. The record is from RNAcentral.
UACGUAGGGGGCAAGCGUUAUCCGGAUUUAUUGGGCGUAAAGAGCUCGUAGGCGGCCGUUCGCGUCGGAUGUGAAAGCUCAGGGCUCAACCCUGAGACGCCAUUCGAUACGGGACGGCUAGAGGUAGGUAGGGGAAAGUGGAAUUCCUGGUGUAGCGGUGAAAUGCGCAGAUAUCAGGAGGAACACCGAUGGCGAAGGCAGGUCUCUGGGCAUUAACUGACGCUGAGGAGCGAAAGCAUGGGGAGCGAACAGG